ACUCAAAUGAAUAGACGGGGGCCCGCACAAGCGGUGGAGCAUGUGGUUUAAUUCGAUGCAACGCGAAGAACCUUACCUGGCCUUGACAUAGUAGAAACUUUCCAGAGAUGGAUUGGUGCCUUCGGGAAUCUACAUACAGGUGCUGCAUGGCUGUCGUCAGCUCGUGUCGUGAGAUGUUGGGUUAAGUCCCGCAACGAGCGCAACCCUUUUCCUUACUUGCCAGCAUUUCGGAUGGGAACUUUAAGGAUACUGCCAGUGACAAACUGGAGGAAGGCGGGGACGACGUCAAGUCAUCAUGGCCCUUACGGCCAGGGCUACACACGUGCUACAAUGGUCGGUACAAAGGGUUGCUACCUCGCGAGAGGAUGCUAAUCUCAAAAAGCCGAUCGUAGUCCGGAUCGCAGUCUGCAACUCGACUGCGUGAAGUCGGAAUCGCUAGUAAUCGCGGAUCAGAAUGCCGCGGUGAAUACGUUCCCGGGCCUUGUACACACCGCCCGU
Molecule: ribosomal RNA, 498 nt
Filed under: uncultured bacterium
Lineage: Bacteria
Description: bacterial SSU rRNA
Rfam family: Bacterial small subunit ribosomal RNA
Source: RNAcentral